CCCUUAGAUGUUCUGGGCCGCACACGCACUACACUGAAGGAGGCAGCGUGUACUCCUGGAUCGAAAGAUUUGGGUAACCCGCGAAUCUCCUUCGUGCUAGGGAUUGAGGUUUGCAAUUAUCCUUCAUGAACGAGGAAUUCCCAGUAAGUGCAAGUCAUAAGCUUGCGCUGACUACGUCCCUGCCCUUUGUACACACCGCCCGUCGCUACUACCGAUUGAAUGAUUUAGUGAGGACUUCGGACUGGGACCGAUGCGGCUUUCGGGCUGCGUCGGUAUUCUGGAAAGAUGUCCAAACUGUAUCAUUUAGAGGAAGUAAAAGUCGUANCA
This 327-nucleotide ribosomal RNA is filed under the name uncultured eukaryote. RNAcentral's name for it is "partial 18S ribosomal RNA". It matches the Rfam family "Eukaryotic small subunit ribosomal RNA", at positions 1470 to 1796 of the family's 1831-position model. The record is from RNAcentral.